RNAcentral lists this ribosomal RNA (253 nucleotides) under uncultured bacterium. RNAcentral's name for it is "partial 16S ribosomal RNA". It matches the Rfam family "Bacterial small subunit ribosomal RNA", at positions 524 to 776 of the family's 1533-position model. The record is from RNAcentral.
UACGAAGGGGGCUAGCGUUGCUCGGAAUCACUGGGCGUAAAGCGCACGUAGGCGGCUUUCUAAGUCGGUGGUGAAAUCCUGGAGCUCAACUCCAGAACUGCCUUCGAUACUGAGAAGCUCGAGUCCGGGAGAGGUGAGUGGAACUGCGAGUGUAGAGGUGAAAUUCGUAGAUAUUCGCAAGAACACCAGUGGCGAAGGCGGCUCACUGGCCCGGUACUGACGCUGAGGUGCGAAAGCGUGGGGAGCAAACAGG